Molecule: transfer RNA, 87 nt
Filed under: Salmonella enterica
Lineage: Bacteria; Pseudomonadati; Pseudomonadota; Gammaproteobacteria; Enterobacterales; Enterobacteriaceae
Description: tRNA-Leu
Rfam family: tRNA
About the family: Transfer RNA (tRNA) molecules are approximately 80 nucleotides in length. Their secondary structure includes four short double-helical elements and three loops (D, anti-codon, and T loops). Further hydrogen bonds mediate the characteristic L-shaped molecular structure. tRNAs have two regions of fundamental functional importance: the anti-codon, which is responsible for specific mRNA codon recognition, and the 3' end, to which the tRNAs corresponding amino acid is attached (by aminoacyl-tRNA synthetases). tRNAs cope with the degeneracy of the genetic code in two manners: having more than one tRNA (with a specific anti-codon) for a particular amino acid; and 'wobble' base-pairing, i.e. permitting non-standard base-pairing at the 3rd anti-codon position.
Source: RNAcentral
GGGAGUAUGGUGAAAUCGGUAGACACAAGGGAUUUAAAAUCCCUCGGCUGUAAGGCUGUACGAGUUCGAGUCUCGUUACUCCCACCA